GUAGGGAAUAUUGCGCAAUGGACGAAAGUCUGACGCAGCGACGCCGCGUGAGUGAUGAAGGCCUUAGGGUCGUAAAGCUCUGUUGAAUGGGAAGAAAAAAAUGACGGUACCAUUCGAGGAAGGACCGGCUAACUUCGUGCCAGCAGCCGCGGUAAUACGAGGGGUCCUAGCGUUGUUCGGAAUCAUUGGGCGUAAAGGGUGUGUAGGUGGCCAUGUAAGUCAGGUGUGAAAGCCCCGGGCUCAGCCCGGGAAGUGCACUUGAUACUGCGUGGCUUGAGUACCGAAGAGGGUAGUGGAAUUCCAGGUGUAGUGGUGAAAUACGUAGAUAUCUGGAGGAACACCGGUGGCGAAGGCGGCUACCUGGUCGAGUACUGACACUGAGACACGAAAGCAUGGGGAUCAAACAGGAUUAGAAACCCGGGUAGUCC
RNAcentral lists this ribosomal RNA (428 nucleotides) under uncultured bacterium. Its description in RNAcentral is "bacterial SSU rRNA". It matches the Rfam family "Bacterial small subunit ribosomal RNA", at positions 354 to 796 of the family's 1533-position model. The record is from RNAcentral.